RNAcentral lists this ribosomal RNA (253 nucleotides) under uncultured bacterium. Its description in RNAcentral is "partial 16S ribosomal RNA". It matches the Rfam family "Bacterial small subunit ribosomal RNA", at positions 524 to 776 of the family's 1533-position model. The record is from RNAcentral.
UACGUAGGGUGCAAGCGUUGUCCGGAAUUAUUGGGCGUAAAGAGCUCGUAGGCGGUUUGUCACGUCGGAUGUGAAAACCCGAGGCUUAACCUCGGGCCUGCAUUCGAUACGGGCUGACUAGAGUUCGGUAGGGGAGACUGGAAUUCCUGGUGUAGCGGUGAAAUGCGCAGAUAUCAGGAGGAACACCGGUGGCGAAGGCGGCUCUCUGGGCAUUACCUGACGCUGAGGAGCGAAAGUGUGGGGAGCGAACAGG